AGUAUGUUGUUACAGGGUGGUUAACUUCGCCAGCGGCCCCCUUUCCCGGGGCAGUCCCUGCUCUCCCCUGCUAGAGGGGCACCCUAAUCCGUCACCCCAUCCGACUUCAGAAUGUAUUCGUUGGGUUCGGCAACUCACCACCAGCAUCCAACCAAAUCUAGCGGAUCAACGGCGCAUCAACUUAGUUCCUGGUCAGCUCGCAAGUUGAUAUUAUCACGUCCUACACCGUCCAUAAGAUGGGGGGCCACCUCCCAUUUCAUCACUCCUCAAACACCCGAGGAGCCGGCAGGCGGAG
This 295-nucleotide long non-coding RNA is filed under the name Volvox carteri. RNAcentral describes it as "long non-coding RNA (VCAR_LNC003659)". The record is from RNAcentral. Lineage: Eukaryota; Viridiplantae; Chlorophyta; Chlorophyceae; Chlamydomonadales; Volvocaceae.